This 460-nucleotide ribosomal RNA is filed under the name uncultured bacterium. Its description in RNAcentral is "partial 16S ribosomal RNA". It matches the Rfam family "Bacterial small subunit ribosomal RNA", at positions 338 to 795 of the family's 1533-position model. The record is from RNAcentral.
CCUACGGGAGGCAGCAGUGAGGAAUAUUGGUCAAUGGGCGGAAGCCUGAACCAGCCAAGUCGCGUGAGGGAUUAAGGCCCUGCGGGUCGUAAACCUCUUUUGCCGGGGAGCAGAGGUCCGGACGUGUCCGGGCCGGGAGAGUACCCGGAGAAAAAGCAUCGGAUAACUCCGUGCCAGCAGCCGCGGUGAGACGGGGGAUGCGAGCGCUGUCCGGAUUUAUUGGGUUUAAAGGGUGCGUAGGCGGGCAUUUAAGCCGGGGGUCAAAUGUCGGGGCUCAAACCCGGCCUGCCGUCGGAACUGGGUGCCUUGAGUGGGCGAGAAGUAUGCGGAAUGCGUGGUGUAGCGGUGAAAUGCAUAGAUAGCACGCAGAACCCCGAUUGCGAAGGCAGCAUACCGGCGCCCUACUGACGCUGAGGCACGAAAGUGCGGGUAUCGAACAGGAUUAGAUACCCCAGUAGUC